GUCCCCGACCCCAGCUCAAACGUUUCCUCUUUCAGCCUUGAGGUGAUUUUUCCCACGGUUUUUACCUGCUGAGCUCCGUGGUGGAGGAGUCGGGGAAUAGAAGUAAAAGGAUGAAAAGACAGAGAAGAGAGCGAACAUGUUGAGUUCUUGCUAGAGACCAGGCACUGUGGUCGGCGUGUUCUUUGUUGUAAUUUUGACAACCCUCUAAGGGGACGUGGGUUCAAUCCUUGGUCAGGGAACCAAGGAUCCCACAUGUUGCAGGGCAACUAAGCCCACGUGCCACAACUACUGAGCAUGCAAACCACAACUAGAGAGACUGCCACAACUACAGAACCCACGCACUCUGGAGCCCACACACCGCAAUGAAGAUCCUGCAUGCUGCAAUGAAGACCAACGCAGCCAAGAAUAAAAUAAAUAAAUAAAUAUUAAAAAAUUUUUUAAGGGACUUCCCUGGUGGUGCAGUGGUUAAGAAUCUGCCUGCCAGGGCUUCCCUGGUAGCGCAGUGGUUGAGAGUCCGCCUGCCAAUGCAGGGGACAUGGGUUCGUGCCCCGGUCUGGGAGGAUCCCGUAUGCCGCGGAGCCGCUGGGCCCGUGAGCCAUGGCCGCUGGGCCUGCGCAUCCAGAGCCUGUGCUCCACAGUGGGAGAGGCCACAAAGGUGAGAGGCCUGCGUACCGCAAAAAAAAAAAAAAAAAAGAAUCUGCCUGCCAAUGCAGAGGACACAGGUUCGUGCCCUGGUCCGGGAAGAUUCCCACAUGCUGUGGAGCAAUUAAGCCUGUGUGCCACAACUAGUGAGCCUGUGCUCUAGAGCCCACGUGCCACAACUGAAGCCCACACGCCUAGAGCCUGUGCUCCGCAACAAAGAGAAGCCACCACAAUGAGAAGCCCGCACACCAUAAUGAAUAGUAGCCUCCACUUGCCGCAACUAGAGAAAGCCCACGCACAGCAAUGAAGACCCAACUCAGCCAUAAAUAAAUAAAUAAAUUCAUU
Orcinus orca (killer whale) is the source of this 987-nucleotide long non-coding RNA. RefSeq lists it as uncharacterized. Lineage: Eukaryota; Metazoa; Chordata; Mammalia; Artiodactyla; Delphinidae. The record is from RefSeq and is a predicted model, not a curated record. The transcript is spliced from 2 exons.